This 253-nucleotide ribosomal RNA is filed under the name uncultured bacterium. Its description in RNAcentral is "partial 16S ribosomal RNA". It matches the Rfam family "Bacterial small subunit ribosomal RNA", at positions 524 to 776 of the family's 1533-position model. The record is from RNAcentral.
UACGUAGGGUGCAAGCGUUGUCCGGAAUCAUUGGGCGUAAAGCGCGCGCAGGCGGUCCCUUAAGUCUGAUGGGAAAGCCCACGGCUCAACCGUGGAGGGUCAUUGGAAACUGGGGGACUUGAGUACAGAAGAGGAAAGCGGAAUUCCACGUGUAGCGGUGAAAUGCGUAGAGAUGUGGAGGAACACCAGUGGCGAAGGCGGCUUUCUGGUCUGUAACUGACGCUGAGGCGCGAAAGCGUGGGGAGCAAACAGG